CUGCUCCCGACUCUGCCCAGGUGGGAAGAUGUCCUCCGUUCCUGUGGGGCCCCGCCACUGUCCUUGUCACAUAGCAUUUAUGGGACUGGCACCUGGCUCCCAGGACGUGCGACACUCUGGAAGGUGAAUCUCCAUCACCCGCCCCUCUUCCCCGUGGCCACUGCGUCAGACACUGGCCUUUGGUUUUGGCAUUCCAAUCACAUCCUCUUACCCACAGUAGCUGAUGUGCUGUCUCCCGUGCGCCGUGAACAUCAUUCCUGUCUGCCCUCCCAUUCAUGCACGCAUUCAUUCAUUCAUUCUGGCCAAUCAGAGCACUCUGUUUUCUUGGCCAAUCAGAGCAUUCCAUUCUCCUGUCCACAAAGAUGAGUUUCAGAUGGGCAGGUGACAUCGCCAUGCCCCUGGAGCUUAAAUCUGAGACUUCUGUGGGAACACGGUGAGGAGCAGCAUGCACUCUUAAGCUGCAUGAAAGGUGUCAGCCUGGUGACUUCUACAACGUGCGCCCGGUGGCCUCACAAUGUACAGUAACCCAUCUCCCUUUGUAGGUGUGAAAAGCCGCCCUGUGUCCCGGGGCUGUCCCCAGACCAGGCCUAGUGCACCAUGGGCUGGUCCCUGCACAUCUCCAGAGCUCCCGGGGUCCAUGGCAGGCGCAGACACAAUCAUGGGCUGUGGACGGCACACGGAGCUGGUUCAGAGGCCGCAGUGCAUUCCUGCUCAGGCUGCUCCAAGAGGACACAGAGGAGUUAACUUAGAGCUCGUGUUGAUCCACUAUUGUACUUGGAGAAAAUCAUAUGGCCACGUGACAUGCAUGUUGGUGCCCGUUGUAGGUGAUGUGGUCUCAUCCUGACCAUCACAUGGCUCUUUAAAUCCUAAGAGACAUCGCAGACAGGAUCUCACUGUGUAGCCCAGGCUGGGCUAAAAGUUGCUGUGAAUCUCUUGCCUCAGCCUCCCGAGUGCUGGGAUUACAGGUGUGCACCACCAUGCCCAGCUCAGUAAGAAGCAUCUUAUGUUUGUGAGACAUUUGGUUCUUUUCAAAGGACUCUAAAAUGUGUUUGCACUUUAUUAUACUAUAAUUUAUGAGAGGUACAGAAAGUGGAGUUUUAUAUGUUAAAGGUAGAAGCUGAAAGUAGUUCAGGAUUCUGGUUUGCCAUGGGGCCCUGCCUACAUUUUUGUAUUUUCAGUUACACUGUUAUGGCUUGUGUAUAGAUGUCCCCCCCCAGAGUCUUAUACAGUUAUAGGAGGGGCUUUUUCAGAGGUGGCUGGAUCUAGAGUGUGUGACUCUGGAAAUGAUUUGUGGUGCAAUGCUAGGCAUUGAUUCCCGGUAUAAGGGCACUAGGAUUAAGGGUGUGAGUGCUGCCUGCUCUAAGUAGCCUGGAUAAGACAUAAGGGACAGGAAGAGCUGUGGUUUUCCCUUGUUGCUUUGCUGCCUUCUGCCUGCCAUGGACUGUUUCUCCUCUGCCAUCCCGCCCUGCCUUGGAGCCAACUGAUUAUGGGCUGCAACCUCUACAGAUUGUGA
RNAcentral lists this long non-coding RNA (1513 nucleotides) under Heterocephalus glaber (naked mole-rat). RNAcentral describes it as "lncRNA (ENSHGLG00000031295.2)". The record is from RNAcentral. Lineage: Eukaryota; Metazoa; Chordata; Mammalia; Rodentia; Bathyergidae.